RNAcentral lists this transfer RNA (76 nucleotides) under Laribacter sp. RNAcentral describes it as "tRNA-Lys". It matches the Rfam family "tRNA". From Rfam's summary of the family: Transfer RNA (tRNA) molecules are approximately 80 nucleotides in length. Their secondary structure includes four short double-helical elements and three loops (D, anti-codon, and T loops). The record is from RNAcentral. Lineage: Bacteria; Pseudomonadati; Pseudomonadota; Betaproteobacteria; Neisseriales; Aquaspirillaceae.
GGGUUGUUAGCUCAGCUGGUAGAGCAGCGGACUCUUAAUCCGUAGGUCGUAGGUUCGACCCCUACACAACCCACCA